AAGGUUAUUUAUUCCUGGUGGAGGCUUACAAGAACAUACAUCGUACCUACUUAGAUUUAUUUAUUUUUUUUUCUAUAAGAGGAAUGGGAGAAGAAGAUGAUACUGAAGUAGACUAGCAUCAUGUCAUCCUUCCUAUAAGAAAGAAAAAAAAACCAUCAAAACACAAAUUUUCGAAUUGCUCUUCUGGUGAAACCAGAUCAGCUCUGAUUUUUGAAACAGAGGUCACUGUCCCGGAGUUAGAGCACACUGCUUUGUACGUUGAAGCUAAAACAUAACUGUGUAUCUUACCAGCAUUAUUGUAAAUAUACUCCUCAACCAUAACAGCAGAAUUCGAGAUUUGGGCAAAAGCGCUUGCCAGCUACUGAGCAACUCUUUGUGUUUCAGUUUUUGCACAGGGAAGUUGAAGAACCCACUGUAUGUUAAUGAAUAUUGCUGUUUGCAUUGUAGGUUGGCAACAGUGCUUUUUUUUCAUGUGGGAUAGUUGGACGCACGGCUGCUUAGUUAGCAUUUUAGUUUUCCUCGCGUAGUUAUCAACAUGAGUGAAAAUAUUCAUACGCGGAUUUGAGAAAGUGGAGCCACUGUCAAACCAGUUGCUAAAAUGUUCAGAGCAGUGUAAGUUGAAGACAUUUUUCAGCUGUGUAAAAGAGCUUUUAGCCCCUAAUUCCAUAGUGAAUGGUGAGUUCUAUAAGAUGAAUCCUCUAUCUGCUCUUUUGUAAACCAUGUAUGCUCCUCGUUUUUACAGAUGCUUGGGUUUUCUGUUUUUAUUUUUCAUAAUGCUCUUCCACACGCACACUUUCCCAUCUCCCACCUCACCCUCCCAAAUGCAAUCAUCUCUCUGCAUGAUUGACCUAAGUGAUCACCAUGGUUUCCAAGUCAAUUCAGGUCCCUGAAGAGGACUUUUAAUUAAGAAGCUCUAAUAGGAACUAGGAGAAAACUUGUAAGUCACUGGUCUUCAGGCUGAGAGCUACAGAUCCCGGGGGUGUCUGUGGCCAACCAGCAAGGCACCCUAAGCACGUCCUUUCCAGGAAGGUCGUAUCCUACACGGAAAUCUGCAUACGUACAUUUACAGAUCUAGACAUCUGCUGGAAGAUUCCUAGGGAGCACAAAAAGUGGAAAAAGUCUUAAAUAGGCUGCUUUUGAGAAAUGGUAGUCACUGAGAGAGCAGUGAGGCAAGGGCUGGGCUGCACAGCAGUGGCUCUUUGUGCCCAGGCACGUGUUUGAGCUAGCCAGGCUUAAAUCACCAUCGCCUGAAUUGCAGAUGAGUACAUGGAUGGGAUUUCCAAAAGCACUUGAUAUUGGUCUGUAUUUACAUGGCAGGAACAACCCCACCUUGUGUGCAUGGGCACGUAUGAAGCAGUGUGUGCUGGUGUUUACUCAGCAUCUCAUUACCCUCCAGAAAACAACCUGUGCUGGCUGAUGUGGUGCUUGGUAAUGCCAUGCAGAAGCACUCCAGGAUGCUUUCGCACCGGGAGCUCCAGCACUGGUCACAAAGGAGAACAAGAAGUGAGACUGGAGAACAUUUUGGACCUUUUUCAAGUCUGGUAUUUGCUGAAAAGCAAAGUUCCAGAAAACUGGAGGUGCAUAAAAACUUGAGAUAACUUUGGUGAAUUGUUCUUGGCCGGAAGACAAAAUGGAAAAUUUAAAUGUUCUGUGUAGAUUGUUUUAGGACUAAACAUCUUGAAUUUCUCUUUCAAAAUGCUCUCCCUUCUGGCAAUUCUCUCAAAACUUCUGGUCAUAUAAAUCCGAGUUAUUGAAGAUACUGCUUGAGGACUCCUGUCAGAACAAUAUUUUUUUAAUUGGAAUUUUUUUUUAAGCUCUAUUUAGUUGAAAAUCUCCAAAGUUUUCCUUUGGAAUGAAGCUCGAAACAAAUUAUUUUCUUUCAGCUUAUUACUACUCGCUUAGCUGUCUGAACAAAAAGUGCUAUGCGAGUUCCCAAGAGGGGAUGAUGGGAAGUUCGAAAAGAGAAGAAAUUGUCAAAUAAAAGAUUCAGUUGUGGUAAGUGAGCCCCUCGACACGGCAGGGUCCAGGCCGGGACUGCUUGUGCCGAGGUGCCCGUGACUCCUGGCUGCAGCACCCCCUGUGCCUGACGUGUGCUGCCCUGGUGAUUCACAGAGCAAGGAGCCUUAAAUACUGCACUAAUGCAACCUGUGGGCUGAGUCCUCCCUCAGCUCCCCUGCCAAACCCCAAAAUCAGCAAUUUGACCAGUUUUGCAGAGAGAAGCAGCCCUGGCUUGGCCGGGCUCUCAGCAGACCUGGUUUGUAUCCGCUGCAAAGGGGGAUUCGGCACCUCCCUGCUGCCCUCUGGAAAACCCUUCGUAUCCUCCAAGGAGGAAUAAGAGCGGCACUAUUGUAACUGGGAAAUGAAUUGCUUACUUUCUGGAUUUGGCAGCUUCCCGUUUCGGAAACCUGAGAUACUGACUCCAAUUUCUGCUUGCUGCCAGCCCAGGAGGAGGGGAUCCAAGGCCGCACAUCCCGUGAGGCAGCGGUCCAUUUGCUAACCGUGCCUGCCGGACAAUGCCACUUACACCGGCCACAAAAACACCCCGAACCUGUGCUGCCCAGAAAAUCACCACGGCCUUGAACUCCCGUCCUUCUGAAGCAGCUCCCGGCACUGCGCAUUCAGGCGGCGUACGCUGGCCUCUCUCACAGGGCAGCGAAAUACAGGACUGCUUGUUACUGAUUAAUUUAUGAACAUGCCAGUUUCCAGACCUAAUUAUGAUAUUGUGAGCAGCUGCAUUAUAAAAAAGAUGUCUGACUUGCCAUACAUAAUGUAAUGGAUCUUUUGCUUCAAGGACUCCGCUGCCCUUUGAAAGUCAAUGAGGGCGGGCUGCGGGCCUGGCAUCGCCGCGGGCGUGCUGUGGCAGCGUGGUCCCGGGGCUGUCACGAUGCAUUUGGCUCCCCAGCUGCGGUGUGGGGUGGGGUGGGGGAAGGAUUAAGGUUCAGAGCCGCCUGUGCAGUCAGGAGGAUGUCAAGGGGCUGCUCUGCAGUCUGUUUUUGCGUGUUUCUGUCAGAAGUGCUGGUAAAGCUGGGCUUUGCCUCUGUGAGAGCUUUUUAGUAAGGAAAAUGCCCUUUACUUUACAACAUAGUGAUUCCUCUUCUGCUGCUUCAGGACACGUUACUGCUGUGUAAAACCAACAUCUGUCCCAUCUGCAUGGCCAGGCCGGUCUGCCCAGCAGCUGCAUCAGCUUUGAAUGGGAUCCGAGCUGAGACUGGCAGCUCGGCACACUCAGGGGAAUGACCUGCAGGGGUUUUCCCUCCGUGAUUCAACACUUUCCUACCUUGGAGCACUGAGAAAGCCUUUGGGUCUUGCCCUUCGGCCGGUGGACCUGUGGGGACACUUUUGGCUGGGAGAUGCAGCUCUUUGUUUUAGAGACAAUGACUGCAGAGGAGAUUGGUUUGACAGCCAGAGCUAAGUGAAAUGCUUUUGUGGCUGCAGAUGGCAACUGCAUAAACUGGUGAUAGCUACUGCUACUUCCUCUAACUCCAGUCUUUACAGAUCAGUGGGUUAUGUGCAUUUUUUGGUGACACCUCCUGAGGGAUGUGGCUGAAGACAGAGUCAACAUUGCUGCUUUCCUGGCUCCACGAAAACCUGACAGCCAGAGACAGGAGUGCAAAACAGCAUCUGGGUUGCGGGGACGCUUCCCGUUUCUUCCCUCACUGCUCACGGGACUGCUAAACAUCCAGGCUUCACACCAGGCAGGAAUUUGGCACAGAUAUCGGAGUGAGUUUUCCCCAUUCAGCAGCAGAAAGACAGAAGCAGAGGUGUGAUUAGGUUAUUAAAAGAUGUUCUUAAAAGAUACUCUUUCAAGAGUACCAUGUUCAAUUGCUACCAAAGUGCAACUGCCUUCUCCAGCAUGGGAAGGAGCCCAUGCACAUGGGAGUGCCCAAACCACCUGGAGCAAAUCUGUCGGGGGGAAAUGCUUAUUUCUGCCCAUUUAAACAAAGGGAAUAUCAAGCACCUGUGUGAUGCAGCAAGGCCAACUUGCCAUGCACUCCAGUGAAGUUGAAAUCGAGGACGAGUAGCCAAGCCUAUUUUCUUUGCGAGUUGCCCCUAAGUGGGGACUGAACAACCCAAUUCUUCAGGUCCAGUUUGGGUUCCUCCCCCUGCCCCCACGGACACCCCAGCCAUUGGUUUGCUUCCUUUCUCCAUAUAGGAAAGAGGGGAAAAAGCCAGAGCUGGUGUUUGCUUCCAUUUCCAGCUUUUAAGGCUUUGCUGUAACCAUUGAAGGACUUAGAGGAACCCUGUCCUGCUCGAGCUGUGCUGAAUGCAGGCAUAACCCGAGCAGCCAGCUAGGAAGAACUGCUCUUCAAAAACCCUUCCCUUAAUCUGAGCAGGACACUAAGGGUCUGGCUUUUUUUAAGGCCCUUUUGAAGCUUGCCCAGAAGAUUAACGUGUAAAUGCAAAGAAUGCUCUGGAAGCUCUUGAAUGGAGAUAGCUAUUUCCAAAUGGCCAUGGGAUUAAACUGAUUGUAGAAAAAAAAUAAAGAGAUGAUUAAUGGCAUCGUGGCCAAAAUAAGGGUCAAUUUUAUUCAUCUGCCGAAAACAUCUCCCAAUGAGAAGAAAUGUUAAGUUACAUGGAAAAACGACCGCAACAACCGCGUUAACAGCGUCUGGGCGGCACUGCCGGGUGUGAAACGCGCCCCGGUGCCAAAGCUGGAGGUGCACGCUCUGCUCUGCAGCCGUGUGGUGCCGUGGUCCCUUUUGGCGGUGUUAGCUACAGACUGGCACGUCUUUCUGGGGGGAGGAUGAGCUGGGUCUCUUAAGACCCAGUGGCCAGGCCGGGAUAAGAGCUGGAAGGGUGGGAGAGCGCCCAGGGCACCUGGCCGGCACUGCAGCUGUCCCUCUGGGCACGGAGCAGCUCUCCUCUGCCACACACAGGGCCUGUGGGGGGGAGAGGAGUCCCAGCCACACACACACUCCUUGAAUGACUGCCGAACGUGCCUGUAACACAGAGCAGUCCCAGGCAAUUAUCGCUGCGCCGAGCCUGCUCUGGGGAGCCUUGCUUUCCUGGGCCGAAUUGCAACUCUCGAAUCUCGGUUGGUUUGGCUGAAAAAAGAUCACGGCACUGGUCUGUUUUCACUGACGGCUGUUUCCCGCUCCGUUGUCAUUAAAGUGAAAUAUAAAGGAGUCAAACUCUGGCUUCACUGAGACUGGUAAAAAAUGGGGCUUCGGGGGGAUAACUGCAAUUCACACCGCAGCAGCCAGUGCUGUGCCUACCUUGGUUCUCAGCCAGCGAAUUUUAAAGCAAACACCCUCCAGGACUGUUCUCCACUUGGAUUUAUUAGUCAUUACCAAGAAAAGAUAAUUAGCACUUCUGAAACAUUGUGAUAAUCAGUAGCAGGAACUGUUACCCAUAGAAACGGGCUGGGGUGCUGGUGCAGCGCAGGAGCACGGCAGCUCUGCUCUGGGCACAGCGCCCCGCCUGUCCUCUGGACGGAGCGAGGACUCCGGUGGGCACAGCCUCAGCUGAAGGAAAUGCUCAUAAAUACCAGCACGCUCAUAAAUACCAGCAUCCGCGGAGGGGACGCCAGCUUACACAGGCUAAGGCAGGGAGUGGGGUCACCCCUUGGCUGCUGGGCUUCUCUGUUCACCUGCAGGCCGACUGACUGUUGGUACCACGUGCAAACCUGGCUGGUUAAAGGCAAUGGCAAAUAUUGCUCCUUCACUGUGCAGCAGAAAAAUAAGAGCUAGGUAGUUUCCUUUUGCCGUUUUUUAUCUUUUCCCUGCUGACUCAAAGGAAAAUAACCCUGUGGUGGAAUGAAGGGAACCGGGCCGCACCUCGAUCCUUCAGACAAUGAUGCUAUUUUUUCCCCUUUUCUUUCUAAAUUGAUGAGAAAACUGUUGGACUCAAGUCAGCACUAAGACUCCAGAAUCAGUACUUCCCUUAUUAUUCCCCAAACUUCCAUUAAUUAUAAUAAUCUGUAAUAUUCAUACAAGGGAUGGGAUAUAAAUCUCAUGUGCUUAGUCUAAAACCCUAAGCAUUAAGCAUGCCGGGCUUCCUGCUAUGCAAAGGAGUAUUACUUAAUCAGCUCAGAGGAGUGGGUCUAUUAGAUUUAUCAGUGUUGGUAUCUAAAUAAAUACUAGAAUGCA
This is a non-coding RNA of Anas platyrhynchos (mallard), 6089 nucleotides long. NCBI's taxonomy places the organism in Eukaryota, Metazoa, Chordata, Aves, Anseriformes, Anatidae. The record is from RefSeq and is a predicted model, not a curated record.